RNAcentral lists this transfer RNA (76 nucleotides) under Scleropages formosus (Asian bonytongue). RNAcentral describes it as "tRNA-Glu". The record is from RNAcentral. Lineage: Eukaryota; Metazoa; Chordata; Actinopteri; Osteoglossiformes; Osteoglossidae.
GCAGCAGGUGGCAUAGUGGUUAUAGCUAAUGCCUUCCUCUUGAAGGAUGUGGGUUCGAAUCCCACGUUCUGCUGCU